This 339-nucleotide ribosomal RNA is filed under the name uncultured bacterium. Its description in RNAcentral is "bacterial SSU rRNA". It matches the Rfam family "Bacterial small subunit ribosomal RNA", at positions 32 to 352 of the family's 1533-position model. The record is from RNAcentral.
AAUCAACGCUGGCGGCGUGCCUCAGACAUGCAAGUCGAACGCGAAAGUCUCCUUCGGGGGACAAGUAGAGUGGCGCACGGGUGAGUAACACGUAGGUAAUCUACCUUCGGAUGGGGAAUAACAACCGGAAACGGUUGCUAAUACCGCAUAAUGCAGCGGCACCUAAUGGUGACAGUUGUUAAANCGGGGGAUCGAAAGACCUCGCGUCUGAAGAGGAGCCUGCGGCGGAUUAGCUAGGGUAAGGUAAUGGCUUACCAAGGCUACGAUCCGUAACCGGCCUGAGAGGGCGGUCGGUCACACUGACACUGACAUACGGGUCAGACUCCUACGGGAGGCAGC